AGAGUUUGAUCCUGGCUCAGAUUGAACGCUGGCGGCGUGCUUAACACAUGCAAGUCGAACGAGAAAGGGGCUUCGGCCCUGAGUAGAGUGGCGCACGGGUGAGUAACGCGUAGGUAAUCUACCCUUAUAUUCGGGAUAACAUCGCGAAAGCGGUGCUAAUACCGGAUAUCUUUGUAUGGACGCGAGUCUGUAUGAGGAAAGGUGACCUCUCCAUGGAAGUUACCGUAUGAGGAUGAGCCUGCGUACCAUUAGCUAGUUGGCAGGGUAAAGGCCUACCAAGGCGACGAUGGUUAGCGGGUCUGAGAGGAUGACCCGCCACACUGGAACUGGAACACGGACCAGACUCCUACGGGAGGCAGCAGUGAGGAAUAUUGCGCAAUGGGGGCAACCCUGACGCAGCGACGCCGCGUGAGUGAUGAAGGCCUUCGGGUCGUAAAGCUCUGUCAGAAGGGAAGAAUGGCCUGGKGGUUAAUAUCCAUGUGGAAUGACGGUACCUUCAGAGGAAGCACCGGCUAACUCCGUGCCAGCAGCCGCGGUAAUACGGAGGGUGCGAGCGUUAAUCGGAAUUACUGGGCGUAAAGGGCGCGUAGGCGGCCGAUCAAGUCAGAUGUGAAAGCCCACGGCUCAACCGUGGAAGUGCAUCUGAAACUGUUUGGCUUGAGUAUCGGAGGGGAAUGUGGAAUUCCUGGUGUAGAGGUGAAAUUCGUAGAGAUCAGGAGGAACACCGGUGGCGAAGGCGACAUUCUGGACGAAUACUGACGCUGAGGCGCGAAAGCGUGGGGAGCAAACAGGAUUAGAUACCCUGGUAGUCC
RNAcentral lists this ribosomal RNA (812 nucleotides) under uncultured bacterium. RNAcentral describes it as "bacterial SSU rRNA". It matches the Rfam family "Bacterial small subunit ribosomal RNA", at positions 8 to 796 of the family's 1533-position model. The record is from RNAcentral.